Chlorocebus sabaeus (green monkey) is the source of this 117-nucleotide non-coding RNA. It matches the Rfam family "Metazoan signal recognition particle RNA". Rfam says of the family: The signal recognition particle (SRP) is a universally conserved ribonucleoprotein. It is involved in the co-translational targeting of proteins to membranes. The record is from Rfam. NCBI's taxonomy places the organism in Eukaryota, Metazoa, Chordata, Mammalia, Primates, Cercopithecidae.
GCCGGGCGUGGUGGCUCACGCCUGUAAUCCCAGCACUUUAGGAGGCCGAGGCGGGCGGAUCACCUGAGGUCAGGAGUUUGAGACCAGCCUGGCCAAUAGGGUGAAACCCCGUUUCUA